CGGGAGCUCUGGCUGUGAUUUGCGUUUCACAAUCAAAUUUCAUUUCGCAUCACAGUCUGAGUUCUUGCU
This 69-nucleotide microRNA precursor is filed under the name Bactrocera dorsalis (oriental fruit fly). RNAcentral's name for it is "microRNA bdo-mir-11 precursor". Its record names the gene bdo-mir-11. It matches the Rfam family "mir-11 microRNA precursor family", at positions 9 to 72 of the family's 78-position model. The record is from miRBase by way of RNAcentral. Lineage: Eukaryota; Metazoa; Arthropoda; Insecta; Diptera; Tephritidae.